CGAUUAGAGUUUGAUCCUGGCUCAGGACGAACGCUGGCGGCGUGCUUAACACAUGCAAGUCGAGCGGAAAGGCCCUUCGGGGUACUCGAGCGGCGAACGGGUGAGUAACACGUGAGCAACCUGCCCCUGGCUCUGGGAUAGCCUCCGGAAACGGGGAUUAAUACCGGAUAUGACCCUUGCAGGCAUCUGUUUGGGUGGAAAGUUUUUCGGCUGGGGCGGGGCUCGCGGCCUAUCAGCUUGUUGGCAGGGUGAUGGCCUACCAAGGCGACGACGGGUAGCCGGCCUGAGAGGGCGGGCGGCCACACUGGGACUGAGACACGGCCCAGACUCCUACGGGAGGCAGCAGUGGGGAAUAUUGCGCAAUGGGCGGAAGCCUGACGCAGCGACGCCGCGUGCGGGAUGAAGGCCUUCGGGUUGUAAACCGCUUUCACCAGGGACGAAGCGCGAGUGACGGUACCUGGGGAAGAAGCGCCGGCUAACUACGUGCCAGCAGCCGCGGUAAUACGUAGGGCGCGAGCGUUGUCCGGAAUUAUUGGGCGUAAGAGCUCGUAGCGGCUUGUUGCGUCUGCUGUGAAAUCCCGGGGCUUAACCCCGGGCGUGCAGGGGAUACGGGCAGGCUGGAGGCAGCAGGGGAAAAUGGAAUUCCC
RNAcentral lists this ribosomal RNA (647 nucleotides) under uncultured bacterium. RNAcentral describes it as "bacterial SSU rRNA". It matches the Rfam family "Bacterial small subunit ribosomal RNA", at positions 1 to 671 of the family's 1533-position model. The record is from RNAcentral.